Molecule: long non-coding RNA, 2019 nt
Organism: Oryzias melastigma (Indian medaka)
Lineage: Eukaryota; Metazoa; Chordata; Actinopteri; Beloniformes; Adrianichthyidae
Exons: 8
Source: RefSeq, a predicted model, not a curated record
CAGUAAAAAUCUUCCCUUUUAGGGGUUUUAAAGUGAUGUUAAAUAGUGAACAACAUUCAUUGAUUGUUUUAUGACCAAACUGAGUGUCUAAGUUCAACUAGAAGGAACCCGUUUGAUAUGGUUCACCCACGUCAAACUCCUGAACACACAAAAAGAUCCAAUAAAUCGUAACACAGGAAGACGCAAUACUAUCACAAUAAAACACUUAAAGAGAACUCGCAACCAGGAAGACAUUCAUCUCCAGGACUGACCGGGUAUGACUUCGUGUGCCGGAGUCUGCGGCAUCAUCUGCUGGAACAUUUCCAUGGUGGUGUAGUCACUUGUAAAAGCUACAGUACAUCCCAGGCAGUCGGCCCGCUGCUUCUCCAGAACCGAAUCCGCCUCUAGAACAGCUCAAAGGUACCGAGGAGCGGCAGCACCGUGGCUAACGUGCAAGCGGGGACCAGGGGGUCGUUUUCAAGAAUCUGGAGACUCUCCGUGUCCCAUUCUUCAGCCUUCAGAGUGGAAAGAAUCCCUAGAAGUUCCUGUGGAGAGGACAGUCAAUGGUCAACAUGGAGCAUCCUCUGCGAUGUUGGUGGAUGAAGUGGAUGCUCACCAGCUGACAGGAACCUUCUAUUUUCUGCACAGCGCUGCUGUUUCCAGGGUUUGUAUUGGAGUUCCAAAGGCCGCAACAGUGAUGACAACUGCAAGAACUGUGAUGAAACUUCUGGAAUGGAAAUAUCCUGUUUCAACGAAAGAGGACAGAAACUUGAGAUUGUUGCACUUCUGACUCCUGCGCCGGCGGAGGUGAAACCGGACACUUGGACCUGACGAGGUGGAGGACGUAACCACGCAGAAAUCCUCUGACCUGCUCCUCCGGGAUGGGCGACCACCGCACCUCCGCCGAAUUCAGCGUCACAUUGUGGCUGCUGAUGUUCGCAGGUGCCCCGACCGGAGCUGUCAGGACGCACAGAACCACCGAUGGGUUACAGCGCCGGCCGGCGUGGACCGCAAUGCUAGAACGUGUGGAACUCACAGCCUUCCAGGAGGUGUCCUUAUCGGGUCUGGUGUGCAGGACGAUGCUGUAUCUUCUGUAUGGCUCCAAAGGCUCUGAGUAUCAAAGAGAAAAAUUCACACCAACUGAUCUGUUGAACCCUUGAGACUCUUCAUGUCCAGGUCAGAAGAUCUUCUGGAAAUCCUCCAUUUAUCACUUUUGAGACUAUUGCGAUGAAAACGAAUGUUUUUGAUUUCCAAGAAGGAUUCUGCAUGAUAAAACUACACAGCAUGAGUGUAUCGGCUACAACCCUGACUAUAACUAUAGGUGAAGUUUUUAGGUUUAAUCUUUAAAAAAAACUGCAAAAGAAGCAGUCUAUGAAGUCCAGCGCCAACUAUAUUGUUUAAUGUUUUGCAGUCGUCUUUUAGCUUAAAUUAGCCAAAAAAGUAUGUAUCGUUUUAAGGAACAGGUUACUUUCUGGAGCGAGGCAGGAUCCCUUUAGAAAUUCGAUUUAGGUUUGCGGGACUGUUGAUGCAGGAAUUAUCUGUUGUAAUUUCCCAGCAUUCCUUUGUUUACACUCUCUCCUGCUAGCUUAUAGCCUCUCACAAGCCCAAGCUAACAUUAGCAUAGCAGAAUAAAAAGGCGAACAAUAUCGGAGCUAUCCAGUUUUGAUCCAGAUUCCAGCUCAGAUAAGGAAAAUGAAGACGUUAAUAGAUCCAUUUGUCUAAAAGUGGGGAGAAGGGAGGUUUUGGCUCCGCCCAUGGCAGUUGUUGCAUCACAAGUCUGAGCUUUUUCAAUCUGCCUGUUUUCAUCUGCUUCUGAUCCAUUACAACUUGGUUACAAAAAUACUCAGAAACUAAGUUUAAUCUUAAAUUAUUUUGUAAAUUUCUUCCAUAAUGAGAAAAAUACUACAAGCUUGUAACAUACUCAAAAACUUUACACACAAAUUUACACACAUAGUACUCGGUAAAAGAAACAAAUGUUGGGUAUAGUGAAUGACCCUCCCCCAAGAAUGACAACAUCAAAAAGAAAAAAAAAAAAGAAUG